GUGGGACAGGGAGCUGUGGGAGGAGAGUGCCCAGUGGGACAGGGAGCUGUGGGAGGAGAGUGCCCAGUGGGACAGGGAGCUGUGGGAGGAGAGUGCCCAGUGGGACAGGGACUGUGGGAGGAGAGUGCCCAGUGGGACAGGGAGCUGUGGGAGGAGAGUGCCCAACGGGACAGGGAGCUGUGGGAGGAGAGUGCCCAGUGGGACAGGGAGCUGUGGGAAGAGAGUGCCCAGUGGGACAGGGAGCUGUGGGAGGAGAUUGCCCAGUGGGACAGGGAGCUGUGGGAGGAGAGUGCCCAGUGGGACAGCGAGCUGUGGGAGGAGAGUGCCCAGUGGGACAGGGAGCUGUGGGAGGAGAGUGCCCAACGGGACAGGGAGCUGUGGGAGGAGAGUGCCCAGCGGGACAGCGAGCUGUGGGAGUAGAGGGACUGCUCCCAUGCUGUCUCAGAGGGACUGAGGCUGAGGGAGCCUGGGCUUGAAGAGGUGCAGAGGGCCAGGGACACGGCCAUCAGAAGCCUGAGACUACAGGAGGAGAAGACCCACAGUCUGGGGGCCCAGAGGCAGGAGCUGUCUGUCUGCAGCACAGCCUGGAGGGCCUACAGGACAGCUUGCCCAGAAGGAGGAGAUGGUCGUGGUUCUCAGAGUGAAGCUGCAGGACCAUGAAGAAGAUGCCCAUGUUCUCCGCCAACAACUGCUCUCCUCCCAAGAUGCACUGCAGGAAGUUACUGCCGAGCUGAGGUCAUAUGUAAAAGAGAGAGGGAAAGCAGGAUAGCCAGUGUGUGGAGACAAGAGGAGAGACUGCCUGAGAUCAGAGCUGAUCUGGUCCAACUACAGCAGCAGUAUACCACCUGCUAUGCCCAGCUGGUCCAGGAGGAGGCUGGGGUGGGCAGGCUGAGGGAGGAGCUGCGUGAGGUGGGGGAACAGAGGGAAUGACUGGCUUCUCAGGUGACAGAGAACCUGGACCUGAACCAUGACCUGGACCUGAGCCAUGACCUGGACCUGAGCCAUGACCUGGACCUGAGCCAUGACCUGGACCUGAGCCAUGACAUGGACCUGA
Molecule: long non-coding RNA, 1054 nt
Organism: Oncorhynchus masou masou (cherry salmon)
Lineage: Eukaryota; Metazoa; Chordata; Actinopteri; Salmoniformes; Salmonidae
Exons: 4
Source: RefSeq, a predicted model, not a curated record